RNAcentral lists this non-coding RNA (209 nucleotides) under Methylobacterium radiotolerans. Lineage: Bacteria; Pseudomonadati; Pseudomonadota; Alphaproteobacteria; Hyphomicrobiales; Methylobacteriaceae. The record is from RNAcentral.
GCCUAGCUUGAGCAAGACGGUUCCCCUCGGGGAUCAAAAGGGAACGCGGUGAGGUCAGGCCCGUGAGGGCUCGGCCGAUACCGCGGCUGCCCCCGCAACUGUAAGCGGCGAGUCCUUCAUCACCACGUCACUGGGCGGCCUCGUCCGGGAAGACGAUGAGAGGGCGACGACCCGCGAGCCAGGAGACCUGCCGUCAGCCGUGGUCACAC